Molecule: ribosomal RNA, 497 nt
Filed under: uncultured bacterium
Lineage: Bacteria
Description: partial 16S ribosomal RNA
Rfam family: Bacterial small subunit ribosomal RNA
Source: RNAcentral
GAUGAACGCUGGCGGCGUGCCUAAUACAUGCAAGUCGAGCGAACAGACGAGGAGCUUGCUCCUCUGACGUUAGCUGCGGACGGGUGAGUAACACGUGGAUAACCUACCUAUAAUACUGGGAUAACUUCGGGAAACCGGAGCUAAUACCGGAUAAUAUAUUAAACCGCAUGGUUCAGUAGUUAAAUACGGUUUUGCUGUCACUUAUAGAUGGAUCCGCGCCGCAUUAGCUAGUUGUUAAGGUAACGGCUUACCAAGGCAACGAUGCGUAGCCGACCUGAGAGGUUGAUAGGCCACACUGGAAAUGAGAGACGGUCCAGGCUCCUACGCAAGGUACCAGAAUGGAAUUAACGCCACCAGGCGAAAGCCUCAGACAACAACGCAGCGUGCGCGACCAAGGCACUAGAUUCGUCAAUCUCUGUUACUAGAGAAGAACAAUUGUGUACGUAAAUCUGUACGUCUUGAAAGUCCCUAACCAGAACGGAAAGGCUCACCACAUG